UCAAGCGAACAAGGGCGCAGGGCGAAUGCCUUGGCACUGGGAGCCGAUGAAAGACGUGAUAAGCUGCGAUAAGCUUCGGGGAGCUGCAAAUAAGCAUUGAUCCGGAGAUUUCUGAAUGAGGAAACUCACCUGGGUUCAUACUCAGGUACGUUAUACUGAACUUCAAAAUAGGUAUAUCGAGGGAACCGCCUGAACUGAAACAUCUAAGUAGGGCGAGGAAGAGACAUCAAACGAGAUUCCGUAAGUAGUGGCGAGCGAACGCGGAAGAGGGCAAACCGAGAGUAGAAAUACUUUCGGGGUACGGAGCGCAUUUAGGACUUAAGUUGUUAACCGAACGGCAUGGGAAGGCCGGUCAGAGAGUGUGAGAACCACGUAGGUGAAAACGGAGAGAGCUGCGCAGGAUCCAGAGUACGGCCAGACACGUGAAACCUGGUCGGAAUAUGGGGGGACCACCCUCCAACCCUAAAUACUACCCAGUGACCGAUAGCGUAUAGUACUGUGAAGGAAAGGUGAAAAGCACCCCGGGAGGGGAGUGAAAAAGAACCUGAAACCCUGUGCUUACAAGCACCUAGAGCACGUCAAUGUGUGAUAGGGUACUUUUUGUAGAACGGUCCGGCGAGCGAUUGUAUGCAGCAAGGUUAAGGACUUAAGGUCUGGAGCCGAAGCGAAAGCGAGUUUGAAAAGGGCGUUAAGUUGCAUACAAUGGGCCCGAAACCGGGUGACCUACCCAUGGUCAGGUUGAAGUGGAAGUAAAAUUCCAUGGAGGACCGAACCGACCUCCGUUGAAAAGGCGGCGGAUGAACUGUGGGUAGCGGAGAAAUUCCAAUCGAACCCGGAGAUAGCUGGUUCUCCCCGAAAUAGUUUUAGGACUAGCCUCAAGUUAGAUACCUGGAGGUAAAGCACUGAAUAGCCUAGCGGCCGAGAGGUUAGCGAAGCUUAUCAAACUCAGAAUGCCAGAGUAUUGAUGCUUGGGAGUCAGACAGUGUCAGAUAAAUGUCAUUGUCAAAAGGGAAACAGCCCAGAUCUACAGCUAAGGUCCCAAAGUCAGGUUAAGUGGAAAACGAUGUGAAGAUACGUAGACAACCAGGAUGUUGGCUCAGAAGCAGCCACACAUUCAAAGAGUGCGUAAUAGCUCACUGGUCGAGCGUCUUUGCGCGGAGAAUUUAACGGGGCUAAACCUGACACCGAAGCUUAGGCAAUACAGCAAUGUAUUGGGUAGGGGAGCGUUGUAUACGCGGUGAAACAGUAGCGCAAGCGGCUGUGGAGUGUAUAGAAGUGAGAAUGCCGGAAUGAGUAGCGCGAAUGCAGUGAGAAUCUGCAUGGCCGAAAGCCUCAGGUUUCUGGAGGAAGGUUCGUCCGCUCCAGGUUAGUCGGGAGCUAAGGUGAGGCCUAACGGCGUAGCCGAUGCACAGACGGUAGAGAUUCCGUCACCACCAAAAGAGUUAAACACAGGGACACAUAUGAAGUCUCAGAGCCGGGUGUUGGUUCCGGUAGAGAUCGAGGGAAAUUAGUACCGAAGUCUGAGAUGGAAGAUGGCGAGAAAAGCUGUGUGUAUUUCUGAGGUGCCCGUACCGCAAACCGACACAGGUAGGUAGGAAGAAGAUUCUAAGGCCAACGGGAGAAGGGUUGUUAAGGAACUCGGCAAGUUGACCCCGUAACUUCGGAAUAAGGGGUGCUCACGAGAGUGAGCCGCAGAGAAUAGGCCCAGGCAACUGUUUACCAAAAACACAGGUUUGUGCUAAAUCGAAAGAUGACGUAUACGAGCUGACGCCUGCCCGGUGCUGGAAGGUUAAGAGGAGAUGUGCAAGCAUUGAAUCGAAGCCCCAGUGAACGGCGGCCGUAACUAUAACGGUCCUAAGGUAGCGAAAUUCCUUGUCAGGUAAGUUCUGACCCGCACGAAAGGCGUAAUGAUUUGGGCACUGUCUCAACAGCCCGCCCGGCGAAAUUGUAGUACCGGUGAAGAUGCCGGUUACCCGCGACAAGACG
This 1986-nucleotide ribosomal RNA is filed under the name human metagenome. RNAcentral describes it as "bacterial LSU rRNA". It matches the Rfam family "Bacterial large subunit ribosomal RNA", at positions 3 to 2082 of the family's 2925-position model. The record is from RNAcentral.